RNAcentral lists this ribosomal RNA (464 nucleotides) under uncultured bacterium. RNAcentral's name for it is "partial 16S ribosomal RNA". It matches the Rfam family "Bacterial small subunit ribosomal RNA", at positions 338 to 795 of the family's 1533-position model. The record is from RNAcentral.
CCUACGGGAGGCAGCAGUAGGGAAUCUUCCACAAUGGGCGAAAGCCUGAUGGAGCAACGCCGCGUGGGUGAAGAAGGUCUUCGGAUCGUAAAACCCUGUUGUUAGAGAAGAAAGUUCGUGCGAGUAACUGUUCACGUUUCGACGGUAUCUACCCAGAAAGCCACGGCUAACUACGUGCCAGCAGCCGCGGUAAUACGGAGGAUGCGAGCGGUAUCCGGAUUUAUUGGGUUUAAAGGGUGCGUAGGCGGACAGUCAAGUCAGCGGUAAAAAUGCGGUGCUCAACGCCGUACAGCCGUUGAAACUGGCAGUCUUGAGUGGGCGAGAAGUAUGCGGAAUGCGUGGUGUAGCGGUGAAAUGCAUAGAUAUCACGCAGAACUCCGAUUGCGAAGGCAGCAUACCGGCGCCCGACUGACGCUGAGGCACGAAAGCGUGGGUAUCGAACAGGAUUAGAUACCCCUGUAGUC